AGUGAACGCUGGCGGUAGGCCUAACACAUGCAAGUCGAACGGCAGCACAGUAAGAGCUUGCUCUUACGGGUGGCGAGUGGCGGACGGGUGAGGAAUACAUCGGAAUCUACUUUUUCGUGGGGGAUAACGUAGGGAAACUUACGCUAAUACCGCAUACGACCUACGGGUGAAAGCAGGGGAUCUUCGGACCUUGCGCGAUUGAAUGAGCCGAUGUCGGAUUAGCUAGUUGGCGGGGUAAAGGCCCACCAAGGCGACGAUCCGUAGCUGGUCUGAGAGGAUGAUCGGCCACACUGGAACGGAGACACGGUCCAGACUCCUACGGUAGGCAGCAGUGGGGAAUAUUGGACAAUGGGCGCAAGCCUGAUCCAGCCAUACCGCGUGGGUGAAGAAGGCCUUCGGGUUGUAAAGCCCUUUUGUUGGGAAAGAAAAGCAGCAGGUUAAUACCCCGCUGUUCUGACGGUACCCAAAGAAUAAGCACCGGCUAACUUCGUG
RNAcentral lists this ribosomal RNA (492 nucleotides) under uncultured bacterium. RNAcentral describes it as "partial 16S ribosomal RNA". It matches the Rfam family "Bacterial small subunit ribosomal RNA", at positions 29 to 507 of the family's 1533-position model. The record is from RNAcentral.